Molecule: ribosomal RNA, 500 nt
Filed under: uncultured Myrionecta
Lineage: Eukaryota; Ciliophora; Litostomatea; Cyclotrichida; Mesodiniidae
Description: SSU rRNA
Rfam family: Eukaryotic small subunit ribosomal RNA
Source: RNAcentral
GUUGACCAGACUAGCCAUGCACGUCUAAGUACAAACUAAAUGAUGGUGAAACUGCAAAUGGGCUCAUUACAACGGUUAUGAUGUACCCGGGAGUUCCGAUGGAUAUUUCCAGUAACACUAGAACUAAUACAUGUCCCUGCGUUUAUUAGUUUCGCACAGUCCGUCGCUGAGUCAUGGUAAACAGUUGAUCGACUCGACGUCCCGGAACAGUUUCCGCCCCAUCAGCUUCGAUGGUUGGGUAUUGGCCUACCAUUGCAACAACGGGUAACGAGGAAUUAGGGUUUGAUUUCGGAGAGGGAGCCUGAGAAACGGCUACCACAUCUACGGAUGGCAGCAGGCGCGCAAAUUACCCAAUGCAGACACUGUGAGGUAGUGACGAGAAAUAAUAAAGCGGGACUUCUGUUUCGCUAUUAUAAUGAGGAAUAACCAAAGGUCAUUCCGAUUAGCAACUAAUGGGAAAGUCUGGUGCCAGCAGCCGCGGUAAUACCAGCGUCAGUAGC